RNAcentral lists this ribosomal RNA (497 nucleotides) under uncultured bacterium. RNAcentral's name for it is "partial 16S ribosomal RNA". It matches the Rfam family "Bacterial small subunit ribosomal RNA", at positions 28 to 507 of the family's 1533-position model. The record is from RNAcentral.
GACGAACGCUGGCGGCGUGCCUAAUACAUGCAAGUCGAACGCUGAAGCUUGGUGCUUGCACCGAGCGGAUGAGUUGCGAACGGGUGAGUAACGCGUAGGUAACCUGCCUGGUAGCGGGGGAUAACUAUUGGAAACGAUAGCUAAUACCGCAUAAGAGUAGAUGUUGCAUGACCUUUGCUUAAAAGGUGCAAUUGCAUCACUACCAGAUGGACCUGCGUUGUAUUAGCUAGUUGGUGAGGUAACGGCUCACCAAGGCAACGAUACAUAGCCGACCUGAGAGGGUGAUCGGCCACACUGGGACUGAGACACGGCCCAGACUCCUACGGGAGGCAGCAGUAGGGAAUCUUCGGCAAUGGACGGAAGUCUGACCGAGCAACGCCGCGUGAGUGAAGAAGGGUUUCGGAUCGUAAAGCUCGGUUGUAAGAGAAGAACGAGUGUGAGAGUGGAAAGUUCACACUGUGACGGUAUCUUACCAGAAAGGGACGGCUAACUACGUG